UACAUGGUGGUCUAGUGGUUAAGAUUCUGUACUUUCACUGCUGUGGCCUGGGUGCAAGCCCUGGCCUUGAAA
This 72-nucleotide transfer RNA is filed under the name Sus scrofa (pig). It matches the Rfam family "tRNA". Rfam says of the family: Transfer RNA (tRNA) molecules are approximately 80 nucleotides in length. Their secondary structure includes four short double-helical elements and three loops (D, anti-codon, and T loops). Lineage: Eukaryota; Metazoa; Chordata; Mammalia; Artiodactyla; Suidae. The record is from Rfam by way of RNAcentral.